Molecule: long non-coding RNA, 472 nt
Organism: Vicia villosa (hairy vetch)
Lineage: Eukaryota; Viridiplantae; Streptophyta; Magnoliopsida; Fabales; Fabaceae
Exons: 4
Source: RefSeq, a predicted model, not a curated record
UUAAAUUUUGAUUUGGGAUUGAUUAUGAUGAACUGUACAGUUUUAUAUUUAUGAAAUAAUUUUGAUUUUGUAUGCGUUUUUGUGAUAUUUUAUUUUUAUGUAUUGAUUUAGAUCAUUGUGUGUGCAGAUCUAGUGUUUGGAGGAGAUCUAGUUUCUGAGGAUAUUCAUAGUCAACUCACGAUGAGAAACAACACAAGAACCCUCAUAAGCAGAAGAGGAUGUUUCUUUGGGAUCUCUCAUGGUGUAAAUAGAUUUUAGGAGUUUUGGCAUAUUUCCAGGCCCUGCAUUCAUGGCAGCAACUUUAAUUGUUGUUUUCCAGCAUUUAUCUUGUUCAGGAAGAUAAAAAGAAACUUCAAUAGAGAUGAAUUUAUUUGCAAAACAAGCAUUAGAGUUGGGCAAUUUGUUAUGCUCCUGGAUUUAAUGUUGUGAAUUGGACAAUUUGUUAUUUUACAAUGUUUAGGUGAAGUAUGUG